CCUACGGGAGGCUGCAGUGAGGAAUACUGGUCAAUGGACGAGAGUCUGAACCAGCCAAGUAGCGUGAAGGAUGACUGCCCUAUGGGUUGUAAACUUCUUUUAUAUGGGAAUAAAAUGUUCCACGUGUGGGAUUUUGUAUGUACCAUAUGAAUAAGGAUCGGCUAACUCCGUGCCAGCAGCCGCGGUAAUACGGAGGAUCCGAGCGUUAUCCGGAUUUAUUGGGUUUAAAGGGAGCGUAGGUGGAUUGUUAAGUCAGUUGUGAAAGUUUGCGGCUCAACCGUAAAAUUGCAGUUGAAACUGGCAGUCUUGAGUACAGUAGAGGUGGGCGGAAUUCGUGGUGUAGCGGUGAAAUGCUUAGAUAUCACGAAGAACUCCGAUUGCGAAGGCAGUUCACUGGACUGCAACUGACACUGAGGCUCGAAAGUGUGGGUAUCAAACAGGAUUAGAUACCCUUGUAGUC
This 460-nucleotide ribosomal RNA is filed under the name uncultured bacterium. RNAcentral's name for it is "partial 16S ribosomal RNA". It matches the Rfam family "Bacterial small subunit ribosomal RNA", at positions 338 to 795 of the family's 1533-position model. The record is from RNAcentral.